Molecule: transfer RNA, 72 nt
Filed under: Ictidomys tridecemlineatus (thirteen-lined ground squirrel)
Lineage: Eukaryota; Metazoa; Chordata; Mammalia; Rodentia; Sciuridae
Description: Spermophilus tridecemlineatus (thirteen-lined ground squirrel) tRNA
Rfam family: tRNA
About the family: Transfer RNA (tRNA) molecules are approximately 80 nucleotides in length. Their secondary structure includes four short double-helical elements and three loops (D, anti-codon, and T loops).
Source: Rfam by way of RNAcentral
GGGAAUAUAGCUCAGUGGUAGAGCACUUGCCUAGCAUGCAAGAGACCCUGGGUUCAAUUCCCAAUACUACAA